This 253-nucleotide ribosomal RNA is filed under the name uncultured bacterium. RNAcentral's name for it is "partial 16S ribosomal RNA". It matches the Rfam family "Bacterial small subunit ribosomal RNA", at positions 524 to 776 of the family's 1533-position model. The record is from RNAcentral.
UACGAGGGGGGCGAGCGUUGUUCGGAAUCACUGGGCGUAAAGGGCGCGUAGGCGGCUCAUGAAGGCUGUGGUGAAAGUCCGGGGCUCAACCUCGGAUCGGCCGUGGCGACUCGUGGGCUGGAGCACUGUAGAGGCGGGUGGAAUUCCGGGUGUAGCGGUGGAAUGCGUAGAGAUCCGGAAGAACACCGGUGGCGAAGGCGGCCCGCUGGGCAACUGCUGACACUGAUGCGCGACAGCGUGGGGAGCAAACAGG